AACUGUACCAAAACGUGCCACGCUGGAUGUGCUCGUUAGUCAUAAUAACCUCAUUUAGUAAGGCUUAUGACUAGAGACACAUUCAGCUUGGCGCGGAACUAUAAACAGU
This 109-nucleotide microRNA precursor is filed under the name Caenorhabditis remanei. RNAcentral describes it as "mir-45". The stretch from base 12 to 98 matches the Rfam family "mir-44 microRNA precursor family". The record is from RNAcentral. Lineage: Eukaryota; Metazoa; Nematoda; Chromadorea; Rhabditida; Rhabditidae.